CCGUAACUUCGGGAGAAGGGGGACCCACACACCGUCAACCGGCUUGCCCGGGGCAGCGGGAGUGGGUGGCACAAACCAGUGAGAAGCGACUGUUUACUAAAAACACAGGUCCGUGCGAAGUCGCAAGACGAUGUAUACGGACUGACGCCUGCCCGGUGCUGGAAGGUUAAGAGGACCCGUUAACCCCCUCGGGGUGAAGCGGAGAAUUUAAGCCCCAGUAAACGGCGGUGGUAACUAUAACCAUCCUAAGGUAGCGAAAUUCCUUGUCGGGUAAGUUCCGACCUGCACGAAUGGCGUAACGACUUCUCAGCUGUCUCAACCAUAGACUCGGCGAAAUUGCACUACGAGUAAAGAUGCUCGUUACGCGCGGCAGGACGAAAAGACCCCGGGACCUUCACUACAACUUGGUAUUGGUGCUCGAUACGGUUUGUGUAGGAUAGGUGGGAGACUAUGAAGCCAUCACGCCAGUGAUGGUGGAGUCGCUGUUGAAAUACCACUCUGACCGUAUUGGGCCUCUAACCUCGAACCGUCUAUCCGGUUCAGGAACAGUGCCUGGUGGGUAGUUUAACUGGGGCGGUUGCCUCCUAAAAUGUAACGGAGGCGCCCAAAGGUUCCCUCAACCUGGACGGCAAUCAGGUGUUGAGUGUAAGUGCACAAGGGAGCUUGACUGCGAGACUGACACGUCAAGCAGGGACGAAAGUCGGGACUAGUGAUCCGGCACCCCCGAGUGGAAGGGGUGUCGCUCAACGGAUAAAAGGUACCCCGGGGAUAACAGGCUGAUCUUCCCCAAGAGUCCAUAUCGACGGGAUGGUUUGGCACCUCGAUGUCGGCUCGUCGCAUCCUGGGGCUGGAGCAGGUCCCAAGGGUUGGGCUGUUCGCCCAUUAAAGCGGCACGCGAGCUGGGUUUAGAACGUCGUGAGACAGUUCGGUCUCUAUCCGCCGCGCGCGUCAGAAGCUUGAGGAAACCUGUCCCUAGUACGAGAGGACCGGGACGGACGAACCUCUGGUCUACCAGUUGUCCCACCAGGGGCACCGCUGGAUCGCCACGUUCGGACAGGAUAACCGCUGAAAGCAUCUAAGCGGGAAACC
RNAcentral lists this ribosomal RNA (1089 nucleotides) under Mycobacterium sp. ITM-2016-00318. Its description in RNAcentral is "bacterial LSU rRNA". It matches the Rfam family "Bacterial large subunit ribosomal RNA", at positions 1728 to 2794 of the family's 2925-position model. Lineage: Bacteria; Bacillati; Actinomycetota; Actinomycetes; Mycobacteriales; Mycobacteriaceae. The record is from RNAcentral.